AGUCGUAACAAGGUUUCCGUAGGUGAACCUGCGGAAGGAUCAUUACCGAGUGAGGGCCCUCUGGGUCCAACCUCCCACCCGUGUUUAUUUACCACGUUGCCUCGGCGGGCCCGCCUGAACUGGCCGCCGGGGGGCUCACGCCCCCGGGCCCGCGCCCGCCGAAGACACCCCCGAACUCUGCCUGAAGAUUGUCGUCUGAGUGAAAAUAUAAAUUAUUUAAAACUUUCAACAACGGAUCUCUUGGUUCCGGCAUCGAUGAAGAACGCAGCGAAAUGCGAUACGUAAUGUGAAUUGCAAAUUCAGUGAAUCAUCGAGUCUUUGAACGCACAUUGCGCCCCCUGGUAUUCCGGGGGGCAUGCCUGUCCGAGCGUCAUUGCUGCCCUCAAGCCCGGCUUGUGUGUUGGGCCCCGUCCUCCGAUUCCGGGGGACGGGCCCGAAAGGCAGCGGCGGCACCGCGUCCGGUCCUCGAGCGUAUGGGGCUUUGUCACCCGCUCUGUAGGCCCGGCCGGCGCUUGCCGAUCAACCCAAAUUUUUUAUCCAGGUUGACCUCGGAUCAGGUAGGGAUACCCGCUGAACUUAAGCAUAUCAAUAAGCGGAGGAA
RNAcentral lists this unclassified non-coding RNA (601 nucleotides) under Penicillium ulaiense. Its description in RNAcentral is "sequence contains 18S rRNA gene, ITS1, 5.8S rRNA gene, ITS2, 28S rRNA gene". The stretch from base 221 to 373 matches the Rfam family "5.8S ribosomal RNA". The record is from RNAcentral. Lineage: Eukaryota; Fungi; Ascomycota; Eurotiomycetes; Eurotiales; Aspergillaceae.